GAUGAACGCUGGCGGCGUGCUUAACACAUGCAAGUCGAACGAACCUUCGGGUUAGUGGCGGACGGGCGAGUAACGCGUGAGAAUCUGCCCUCAGGAGGGGGAUAACGGUUGGAAACGACCGCUAAUACCCCAUAUGCCUAUUGGUGAAAUGAAUUUCGCCUGAGGAUGAGCUCGCGUCUGAUUAGCUAGUUGGUGAGGUAAUGGCUCACCAAGGCUUCGAUCAGUAGCUGGUCUGAGAGGAUGAUCAGCCACACUGGGACUGAGACACGGCCCAGACUCCCACGGGAGGCAGCAGUGGGGAAUUUUCCGCAAUGGGCGAAAGCCUGACGGAGCAACGCCGCGUGAGGGACGAAGGCCUCUGGGCUGUAAACCUCUUUUCUCAAGGAAGAAGAUAUGACGGUACUUGAGGAAUAAGCCACGGCUAAUUCCGUGCCAGCAGCCGCGGUAAUACGGGAGUGGCAAGCGUUAUCCGGAAUUAUUGGGCGUAAAGCGUCCGCAGGCGGCUUUUCAAGUCUGCUGUUAAAACGUGGAGCUUAACUCCAUCAUGGCAGUGGAAACUGAAAGGCUUGAGUAUGGUAGGGGCAGAGGGAAUUCCCGGUGUAGCGGUGAAAUGCGUAGAUAUCGGGAAGAACACCAGUGGCGAAGGCGCUCUGCUGGGCCAUUACUGACGCUCAUGGACGAAAGCCAGGGGAGCGAAAGGGAUUAGAUACCCCUGUAGUCCUGGCCGUAAACGAUGAACACUAGGUGUCGGGGGAAUCGACCCCUUCGGUGUCGUAGCUAACGCGUUAAGUGUUCCGCCUGGGGAGUACGCACGCAAGUGUGAAACUCAAAGGAAUUGACGG
RNAcentral lists this ribosomal RNA (842 nucleotides) under uncultured cyanobacterium. RNAcentral describes it as "bacterial SSU rRNA". It matches the Rfam family "Bacterial small subunit ribosomal RNA", at positions 28 to 916 of the family's 1533-position model. Lineage: Bacteria; Bacillati; Cyanobacteriota. The record is from RNAcentral.